AGUGAACGCUGGCGGCAGGCCUAACACAUGCAAGUCGAACGGCAGCACAGUAAGCUCUUGCUCUUACGGGUGGCGACUGGCGGAUGGGUGACGAAUGCAUCGGCAUCUACUUUUUCGUGGGGGACUACGUGGGGCAACUGCCGCUAAUACCGCAUACGACCUACCGCAGAAAUCAGUGGUUCUUCGCACCUUUCGUGUUUCAUUGAGCCGACGUCGCAUUAGCUAGUUGGCAGGGUAAAGGCCCACCAAGGCAACGAUCCGUAGCUGGGCUGAGAGGAUGAUCAGCCACACUGGAACUGAGACACGGUCCAGACUCCUACGGGAGGCAGCAGUAGGGAAUAUUGGACAAUGGGCGAAAGCCUGACGGAGCAACGCCGCGUGGGUGAAGAAGGCCUUCGGGUUGUAAAGCCCUUUUGUUAGGGAAGAACAGCUGCGGAAUAAAACACGGAUGUUCUGACGGUACCCAAAGAGUAAGCACCGGCUAACUACGUG
Molecule: ribosomal RNA, 492 nt
Filed under: uncultured bacterium
Lineage: Bacteria
Description: partial 16S ribosomal RNA
Rfam family: Bacterial small subunit ribosomal RNA
Source: RNAcentral